GAUGAACGCUAGCUACAGGCUUAACACAUGCAAGUCGAGGGGAAACGACAUCGAAAGCUUGCUUUUGAUGGGCGUCGACCGGCGCACGGGUGAGUAACGCGUAUCCAACCUGCCCACCACUUGGGGAUAACCUUGCGAAAGUAAGACUAAUACCCAAUGAUAUCUCUAGAAGACAUCUGAAAGGGAUUAAAGAUUUAUCGGUGAUGGAUGGGGAUGCGUCUGAUUAGCUUGUUGGCGGGGUAACGGCCCACCAAGGCGACGAUCAGUAGGGGUUCGUAUAGGAAGGUCCCACACAGUGUAACUGAGACACGGUCCAAACUCCUACGGGAGGCAGCAGUGAGGAAUAUUGGUCAAUGGGCGAGAGCCUGAACCAGCCAAGUAGCGUGCAGGAUGACGGCCCUAUGGGUUGUAAACUGCUUUUAUAAGGGAAUAAAGUGGGAGUCGUGACUCCUUUUGCAUGUACCUUAUGAAUAAGGACCGGCUAAUUCCGUGCCAGCCGCCGCCGUAA
Molecule: ribosomal RNA, 508 nt
Filed under: uncultured bacterium
Lineage: Bacteria
Description: partial 16S ribosomal RNA
Rfam family: Bacterial small subunit ribosomal RNA
Source: RNAcentral